RNAcentral lists this ribosomal RNA (300 nucleotides) under Triticum aestivum (bread wheat). RNAcentral's name for it is "partial small subunit ribosomal RNA". The record is from RNAcentral. Lineage: Eukaryota; Viridiplantae; Streptophyta; Magnoliopsida; Poales; Poaceae.
AUGAUUUGGGUUUCUUCUUGCUUUCAUUUUUGCCUCUCUUCUCUGCUGCAGCUCCGCUGGUUCUUUGUUGUUGCCGCACUUUGGGUUGACUUGCCAUGGAACCAUUUGGCUGACGUGUCUCCAUCACCAUUAUUUGCUAUGUUUUGGAUUUACCCGCUCCCUGACUGCUGCAUUUUGCCUCCUGUAGGCCUCUGCUUUUUUCGUCAUCUUCCAUCGGUCCAAGCUGCUAUUGUUCGCUCCGUCGGCUUGCAGUUGCUUCUGGAGCGUGCUUCAGAUUCAUUGUGCCUCCUUCCAAUGUAA